CUUCACUGAAAAAGUGACUUUUUUUCUCCAUUUCUUUGUAUUUCUUCAAACAGUUGCACCGACAGUUUUUCUUGAUCAUCUACCUCGGAGAUGUCAUAAAGCUCUGAAAGAAUUGUUAAGGGUACAGAGCCGUCAAUUUCAACAUGAGGGAUUGCAAAGCGUAUAAUCAACAGUUAAUCUCAACAAAUUGGUAUCAGAGCACUGGUAAGAUGGCCAGUUCGAGUGGCACAGUAAGUCUUUUUUUGAAAACCUUGUAGGUAGAAAAAUCAGCUGAAGGAUCGUGCGGCAUGAACCAUUUGGUUUAUAUAUGUUGCAGAUGAAAUCAUGUAUCGUAUUUUGACCUUGGCAAUCCAAAAAGAAAAUUGGAUAAAUUGAAGUGUUUGUUCAUGGAAAAUUUUUUAUGAACAACUCUAUCUAAGACUUUAUAGGCUUAUGAUGUAGGAGGGUUCAGACUUGGUAUAUCAUAUUAAUUAAUUUCUUUAGUCAAAUAAUCUCAAGUUUUACUAUACGUGAUGUCAAAGAUUGAAGAGGGUAAGACGAUGAUCUUGUUAUGUUCCCUGUCUUUUUUCUUUCAACAUUUGCUUGUUAUUCUUACGUAUGGAAAAGUCACGAUUAAAUUUAAUGAGAUCUUCGUAGCCCUAUUGACUUGUAA
Long non-coding RNA from Ipomoea nil (Japanese morning glory), 652 nucleotides. RefSeq lists it as uncharacterized. The transcript has 3 exons. The record is from RefSeq and is a predicted model, not a curated record. NCBI's taxonomy places the organism in Eukaryota, Viridiplantae, Streptophyta, Magnoliopsida, Solanales, Convolvulaceae.